UACGAAGGGGGCUAGCGUUGUUCGGAUUUACUGGGCGUAAAGCGCACGUAGGCGGAUUGUUAAGUCGGGGGUGAAAUCCUGGAGCUCAACUCCAGAACUGCCUUCGAUACUGGCAAUCUUGAGUCCGGAAGAGGUGAGUGGAACUCCUAGUGUAGAGGUGGAAUUCGUAGAUAUUAGGAAGAACACCAGUGGCGAAGGCGGCUCACUGGUCCGGUACUGACGCUGAGGCGCGAAAGCGUGGGGAGCAAACGGG
This 253-nucleotide ribosomal RNA is filed under the name uncultured bacterium. RNAcentral's name for it is "partial 16S ribosomal RNA". It matches the Rfam family "Bacterial small subunit ribosomal RNA", at positions 524 to 776 of the family's 1533-position model. The record is from RNAcentral.